Molecule: long non-coding RNA, 2036 nt
Organism: Macaca mulatta (Rhesus monkey)
Lineage: Eukaryota; Metazoa; Chordata; Mammalia; Primates; Cercopithecidae
Source: Ensembl
AGUCAACGGGCGUCGGGCAGCAAGCCGCAGCCCAGCGGGAUGAAGGCAGGUCGUUCUCGUUCCCUGAGACAUAGAAGCCCCCUCCCCACCAGCCCUCGCCCUCCGCUGGCUUCCCUUUAGCAGAAAGUUGCUCCAUGCUCCGACAGACACAUCGCCGCGAGAAAAUGCCACCACCCAGACCCAGGGACAAAACGGGGACUGUUUCGGCGCAAGUGGACUUUCCAAAUCCACCCCUCGCGGGCAAAGAGGACAUAAAGCCGAACCGCGUCCCGAGCACCGCCGCGGACUGGGACUGCAUCCCGAGCUCUCAACGCCCCCUUGGGGAAGGCACAACCCCGGCGGUCACAGAGAAGGAAACUGAGGCUCACAGGCCAAGCGGAGGCACCUGCCCAAGGUGAGGCAGCCGUAUUGUGACCAUGAGAACUGAAGAGAAAUGGACUCAGAACCCAGAUAUUGUAAGGCUCCUAGAGAAACCCUGGAAACAUCUACUUAUCAACGUUUUUGCUGGUGAGCUAAUGAAACACCCUAUGGUUAAGCUACUGUGAGUCAGAGUGUUUGUUAUUUACAGCUGAACACAUCCUGAUUCAAGGAGGAAAUAUGUAAAUGUGCAGCAGAUAUGACUUCAUCUCCAAUGUGCUGCCCCUCGAGAGUGUGGUGCCCAAAUUUUCCUCUGUUUUUAGGAUAUUCUUUCUCUGCAUCCUCUACCUGCUUCCCUCUCAAGCUUAGAUAUUGUCUUCUCUGGAUAGCCAACUUCCAAGUUCUAGGCUGGAUCACACACCCCUCCACUGAACUGUCUCUGUUCUGCGUAUACUUGCUUUCAUAGCAUAUGUCACAUGGCAACUUUUCCAUAAGACAUGUGCUCUGUGAGGGCAGGAAAGAAGAAGAGAAAAGGGAGUCAGUGAUAUCGACCUCUUCAGCAGACUUUCACUUUUAUCUCAUCACCCAGACCUACCACACGGUAGGCACCCUAGCUGCAAGGAAGGCUUGCAAAGUGACGAUUUCACCCUUCCAACUUCUAUAGUGGAAGACAAGCAAAGGAGAAGAGUACUGGGAAUGGAAGCAUGGGUUGGCCACCAAGCAGCAUCUGCCACAAAUGACAAAAUAUUUUAAGUUCUUUGAUGUUUUAGCCAUAACAUUAUUUUUAUUUUUUUCUAAAUGGAAAUAUUUUAUUAUUUUUUCCUAAUUCUAAAAGCAACAAAGCUUGUUUUAAAAAUGGAAACCGUAUGGGUUAUGGAGUGAGGUUCCUAAAAUCUUUUUCCUUUAGAUACAAUCUUAUGAACAAUUUAAUCUAUGUAUUAUUUUGGCAUAAAAUAUUUUUUGUCUAAGCAGAAAAAUAUUUUAGACACUUGUUUGUAAAAGUGGGUUAUAUAACAUAUACUGUUUUGUUAUCUACUUGUUUUUUUUAACUUAGGACUAGCAUGGCCAUUGUACAUAGUCAUACAAAUAGAUAUGACUUAACCCUUUUUACCAGUGGGAUAAUUUCAGUAUUAGUUAUCUAUCGCUAUCUCACAAAUUACCACAAACUUAGUGGCUUAAAGCGACACAUAUUUAUUAUCUCCCAAUUGCUGUGGAUCAGGAAUCUAGGCUUUGCUUAGCUGCAUUCUCUGUUUUAGGGUCUCUCAUUAGGCUGAAAAUUGUCUUCCAGGAUUGAGUUAUCUUCUGAAGGCUUGACUGGGGAAGAAAGAAUCUUGCUAUGGUUUGAAUGUCUCCUCCAAAACUCAUGUUGACAUUUAAUUGCCAUUUUGGUGGUAUUAAGAGGUGAGACCACUAAGAGAUAAUUAGACCAUGAGGACUCUGCCCUCAUAAAUGAAUUAAUGUUAUCAUGAGAGUGGCUUUGUUAUUGUGAAAGUAGGUUAUUGUAAAAGCAAGUUUGGUUGUCUCUUCCUUGCUUGCUCUCCCUCAUGUGUGCCCGUUCACCCUUCUACCUUUUGCCAUGGGGUGAUGUGAGAAGAAGGCCCUUGCAAGUUGCUGGAAAUUUGAUGCUGGAUUUCUCAGCCCCCAGAACUGUGAGAAACAAAUUUCUUUUAUUUGUAAAA